Molecule: long non-coding RNA, 1587 nt
Organism: Heterocephalus glaber (naked mole-rat)
Lineage: Eukaryota; Metazoa; Chordata; Mammalia; Rodentia; Bathyergidae
Source: RefSeq, a predicted model, not a curated record
GGAAGGUGUGUAUGUGCAUGUGCAUGCCUGUGGGAGCAUGGUGUGCGCCUGCGCGUGGGCUGUACUGAGGAUUGGACCAAGGCCUUCCUGCCGAUCUUUAUCCCAACCCCUUUUAAUUUUGUCUUUUUUUCAAGACAGGACCUCACUAAGUCACCCAGGCUGGACUCAAACCCGUGAUCCUCCUGCUUCAGCUGCUCAAAGCACUGAGGUUACAGGACAGUCUGCCAGGCCACCCUUGGAGCCAGCCGACUAUGGACUGAACCCUCUACAAACUGUGAGGUUUCCAAGUAGCUGGAGUUGUAACCAUGGAGCAGCGCACACAGCUAGUAAUAGGUGUCAGAUGUUAUGUCCCAGCAAUGAGAAAGUAACUAAGGCAGGUACAGUGAGCAGCUCUUCGCAGUCCUGAAGUCCAUGUUCCCAGGCACCAGCCACAGGUCAAGCUCAGAAGUGGGUAUUUGGAGGACAGCAGUCUCAAGCUUGCCAUGUGGGAAACAUCUAUCACUGAGCCGAUCGUGCUUGACAUGGGCGUCACACUUAGGGGACAGGUUGAGAGCGCAAAUACGGAACACGGCCAUUAGUGCCAUCUCAGUCCCCACCAGCUCCUCGACCUCGGUCAGCUCCUCAAGCUCCAGAGCCUCUGGAUCUUCAGACUGUCACCUGGUGGCACCUCCCUUCCUGAUCACCCAGGGCACUGGAUGACAGAUUCCCGCCAAGUGCUGGACAGGUGUUUGCAGAACAUAAUGCUGACACACGUCACGGGGAGUUGGUGAGUGUACAGAACACAUCUGAAUACCUUUUAUGUCCCCCCCUUCAUCUCUUGGUCCCCUUUCAUUUGCAAAAGCUCCAUCUUCCUGUUUCCCUGUAUCUACCUUUUAUUUUGCUCUUUAUUUACAUUUUGGGUUCUCUCAUGAGGCAAAGUAUGUGACAUUCCAGCUCUUAUGUCUCUUGGCUCCUGUCACCCUAAUGCUCCUCUGUCCCCUGCACCUCAUUGCCCAUUGGGGAGCAAGUGGAUCUCCCAAUCUAUCCCAUCCUUUCAGUCCCCACUGCCAGUCUUAAUCCAGGCUCCCUCUGGUCUGACUGGCAACAGGAGUUUCCUAAGCAACCUUCCAGGCUCCAGUCUUGCCCCUCUUCGUUCUCUCCUCAUUUCUCGCUGGCUUUUUCUGCAAGGUGGCUGAGUGCAAUGGCUCUCAGUUCCUCAUGGGGACAAAGCUCUGCUUUGCCUGGAGUCGCUUCCUCUGCCUCCGCCUGCCCAGAGCCACCUCCACAGACCGCCCUCUGCUCUCUGCUGCUGCCCCCCCAGAACGCCUUCCUCUGAGGUGUCUGUGUGAGUCCUGUCCCAGCACUCACUCUGGGACAGGAGCAUCACUGAGGAGCCCAGGAGCCUCCAAAGGCUAGGUCUCUGUCCUGUUCCACUCUGCUGCACCUCUGGAACGUAACUCAGGCCUUGGCCAUCGCAGGAGAUAGUGUCUCAGAGUCUCACGAUGUAGCUCAUGCUGGUCUGAAACUCCCUAUGUGACCCAGGCUGGCCUCAAAACUUUUUUUUCUUCAGUAUUGAGGAUUGAGCCCAGGGCCUUCACACUAAGCUAC